This 940-nucleotide ribosomal RNA is filed under the name uncultured bacterium. RNAcentral's name for it is "bacterial SSU rRNA". It matches the Rfam family "Bacterial small subunit ribosomal RNA", at positions 563 to 1499 of the family's 1533-position model. The record is from RNAcentral.
AAGCGUGCGCAGGCGGUUUUGUAAGUCAGAUGUGAAAUCCCCGAGCUCAACUUGGGAACUGCGUUUGAAACUACAAGACUAGAAUAUGUCAGAGGGGGGUAGAAUUCCACGUGUAGCAGUGAAAUGCGUAGAGAUGUGGAGGAAUACCAAUGGCGAAGGCAGCCCCCUGGGAUAAUAUUGACGCUCAUGCACGAAAGCGUGGGGAGCAAACAGGAUUAGAUACCCUGGUAGUCCACGCCCUAAACGAUGUCUACUAGUUGUUGGUGGAGUAAAAUCCAUGAGUAACGCAGCUAACGCGUGAAGUAGACCGCCUGGGGAGUACGGUCGCAAGAUUAAAACUCAAAUGAAUUGACGGGGGCCCGCACAAGCGGUGGAUUAUGUGGAUUAAUUCGAUGCAACGCGAAAAACCUUACCUGGCCUUGACAUGUAACGAACUUUCCAGAGAUGGAUUGGUGCUCGAAAGAGAGCGUUAACACAGGUGCUGCAUGGCUGUCGUCAGCUCGUGUCGUGAGAUGUUGGGUUAAGUCCCGCAACGAGCGCAACCCUUGCCAUUAAUUGCCAUCAUUUAGUUGGGCACUUUAAUGGGACUGCCGGUGACAAACCGGAGGAAGGUGGGGAUGACGUCAAGUCCUCAUGGCCCUUAUGGCCAGGGCUUCACACGUAAUACAAUGGUCGGUACAGAGGGUUGCCAAGCCGCGAGGUGGAGCCAAUCCCAGAAAGCCGAUCGUAGUCCGGAUUGUAGUCUGCAACUCGACUACAUGAAGUCGGAAUCGCUAGUAAUCGCGGAUCAGCAUGUCGCGGUGAAUACGUUCCCGGGCCUUGUACACACCGCCCGUCACACCAUGGGAGUGGGUUUUACCAGAAGUAGGUAGUCUAACCUUUCGGGAGGACGCUUACCACGGUAGUAUUCAUGACUGGGGGUGAAGUCGUAACAAGGUAA